This 4063-nucleotide long non-coding RNA is filed under the name Linum usitatissimum (flax). Its description in RNAcentral is "long non-coding RNA (LUSI_LNC005019)". Lineage: Eukaryota; Viridiplantae; Streptophyta; Magnoliopsida; Malpighiales; Linaceae. The record is from RNAcentral.
AUCAACGUCGUAAGAAAUAUGACUUAAAAACAUACCACCUAACUACCAAUAUAACCGUAACAUGUACUCUAACUAAUUUGAGUAAGAAAAAUCGUGACACAGAAGUUAAUGGAUAAGAUCGAUUCGAUACUAAAUCCUCGUUAGAGAUGCUAGGGUUAUUUAAUGAAAUGAUAUUGAUGCGAAUUCCAUACCCGGACGAAAUUUAGUUACUACACAUUUAAUCGUAAUACUUCUAAAGUUGCAGCUCCCUUUGAUUGGGUUCAUAUGAAUAUAUGGGGUCCUUUGAACACUUGACUCAUGAUGGUUGUGUUUAUUUUCUUACUAUUUUGGAUGACCACAGUAGUUGUGUCUCGGUUUUUCUUAUGAAGCACAAAAGUGAAAUUUGUAAUUUUAUUCCAGCUUUCGGUUAUAUGGUUACUUAAUUUCAUUCUCGUGUUAAGAUCAUCUGAUUCAAUCAGGGUGAAGAGUUCUAAAUGCAUUCUUUCUUCGCUGACUUUAGUUUCCUCCACCAAACUAGUGUAGCUGUUGCUUCCCAGAAUCACAGAGUACACAAACACCAACACUUAUUAACGCUUUCAAAGCGUUUUAUCUAAUCAAUCGACUUUCCACUCCUACUUCCUAAUAAAACCUCUUAUGGAAUGCUUUACCAUACGUCUCUAGUUUAUAUUAUCUUCGAGUCUCUGGUAGUCUAAUUUAUGCCAGUAGUAGGCAGUGAGAGUGGACGUGUGUUACGGUGUAGGCUAAUUAUGUUAGCUAGUUAUUAUAUGCUGGUAGCUUAGUCCAUACAGUGUGAUGUAUAUAGACUAUCCUCUUCUGUAAAUUUCAUUAUAAUAAUUAGUUCAAACUUCUCUUCUUCUCCCGUCGUUGUCGUCAAUCAUCACUCAAGAGUUAUCUGUAAAUCUCGUCCCCAGUCAGCUCAGAGCUCAUCGACUAGAGUACAAAAGGUAGAGAUCAACCACAAGUUGGAGUACAAAAACUUGUUUUUCUCGUCUCUCUGUUUGAGUCAUUAUUGUAUUAGUUGUUGCCUUUUGCUUAAUUGGUCCCCAUUCUCUAAUUCAAAUGAUAAUGCAUUGUUUGAGAUGAACAACUAAUACAAGACAAUACAUUCUUGCAUGUUGUUGAGAUUAUUUUGUUAUGUUUUAUGGCUAAUUAGUGGAAAUUGUCUCUUAAAUUUGGGUCAAAUCACAAAUUGAUUCUCAUUGUAUCAAAAGUAAUAACAUCGUCCAUUUUGUUAUCGGAUCUAACUAAUACGUACUUCCGCCAGUCUCCGUCUAAACGUCAGUUAAAAAAAUGCUGAUGUGUCAUCGUCUUGUGAUCCACUCCAUAUGACGUGGCACUUUCCACAUCAGCUAAUAGCACGAUUAUUGGUAGCCAUUUUGAACCCAUUUUGACUGAUUUUUUACUCGAUUUGACCGACUUUUGAGUCACUUGUGUGAUUGGUUGGAAGAAACAAGGAUUUGGCGUUAUGUUUUUUUGAACAGCCAGUUUCAGUCUGUUCGACUUGCUUUUUCUAUUGAAAACACUUUGUUUAUUUUAUUUUUUUGGGAGUGUGGUGGGAUUGGGAUGCCUGUUUGGGGAAUUAGGGAAUGUUGGUACGAAAGCGGUCGAUUUUCUUCUUCCUAUUUUUCUUCCCGAUUUGUGGUCCAAAAUCCUGUUGUUUUAUAGUGAAAAUGGCGGUCGUUGCCGCCCAUUUUAACCAAUUAAUUGCUGGCAGCAAUUCUGACAAAAAUCAGAGGUGGCUGCAUUUUGGAAGAAACAGUAUCCGGCCUGGUAUUAAAUUGGGCCGAAAAAAUGCAUCAAAUGUCGCAAUAGUUUUUUGAUUGGUUUAGUUUGCUGAAUUUUGAGAGGGCAGAUUUGGGGUUCAUUCGUUUUGACCGUUCCAUUUUAAAAUGAUUUGAAAUAACUGGCUUAGAAUAAUCAACGUCGUAAGAAAUAUGACUUAAAAACAUACCACCUAACUACCAAUAUAACCGUAACAUGUACUCUAACUAAUUUGAGUAAGAAAAAUCGUGACACAGAAGUUAAUGGAUAAGAUCGAUUCGAUACUAAAUCCUCGUUAGAGAUGCUAGGGUUAUUUAAUGAAAUGAUAUUGAUGCGAAUUCCAUACCCGGACGAAAUUUAGUUACUACACAUUUAAUCGUAAUACUUCUAAAGUUGCAGCUCCCUUUGAUUGGGUUCAUAUGAAUAUAUGGGGUCCUUUGAACACUUGACUCAUGAUGGUUGUGUUUAUUUUCUUACUAUUUUGGAUGACCACAGUAGUUGUGUCUCGGUUUUUCUUAUGAAGCACAAAAGUGAAAUUUGUAAUUUUAUUCCAGCUUUCGGUUAUAUGGUUACUUAAUUUCAUUCUCGUGUUAAGAUCAUCUGAUUCAAUCAGGGUGAAGAGUUCUAAAUGCAUUCUUUCUUCGCUGACUUUAGUUUCCUCCACCAAACUAGUGUAGCUGUUGCUUCCCAGAAUCACAGAGUACACAAACACCAACACUUAUUAACGCUUUCAAAGCGUUUUAUCUAAUCAAUCGACUUUCCACUCCUACUUCCUAAUAAAACCUCUUAUGGAAUGCUUUACCAUACGUCUCUAGUUUAUAUUAUCUUCGAGUCUCUGGUAGUCUAAUUUAUGCCAGUAGUAGGCAGUGAGAGUGGACGUGUGUUACGGUGUAGGCUAAUUAUGUUAGCUAGUUAUUAUAUGCUGGUAGCUUAGUCCAUACAGUGUGAUGUAUAUAGACUAUCCUCUUCUGUAAAUUUCAUUAUAAUAAUUAGUUCAAACUUCUCUUCUUCUCCCGUCGUUGUCGUCAAUCAUCACUCAAGAGUUAUCUGUAAAUCUCGUCCCCAGUCAGCUCAGAGCUCAUCGACUAGAGUACAAAAGGUAGAGAUCAACCACAAGUUGGAGUACAAAAACUUGUUUUUCUCGUCUCUCUGUUUGAGUCAUUAUUGUAUUAGUUGUUGCCUUUUGCUUAAUUGGUCCCCAUUCUCUAAUUCAAAUGAUAAUGCAUUGUUUGAGAUGAACAACUAAUACAAGACAAUACAUUCUUGCAUGUUGUUGAGAUUAUUUUGUUAUGUUUUAUGGCUAAUUAGUGGAAAUUGUCUCUUAAAUUUGGGUCAAAUCACAAAUUGAUUCUCAUUGUAUCAAAAGUAAUAACAUCGUCCAUUUUGUUAUCGGAUCUAACUAAUACGUACUUCCGCCAGUCUCCGUCUAAACGUCAGUUAAAAAAAUGCUGAUGUGUCAUCGUCUUGUGAUCCACUCCAUAUGACGUGGCACUUUCCACAUCAGCUAAUAGCACGAUUAUUGGUAGCCAUUUUGAACCCAUUUUGACUGAUUUUUUACUCGAUUUGACCGACUUUUGAGUCACUUGUGUGAUUGGUUGGAAGAAACAAGGAUUUGGCGUUAUGUUUUUUUGAACAGCCAGUUUCAGUCUGUUCGACUUGCUUUCUCAAUGUUUCAUUGAGCUUGCAGGUAUGCAAUGGAUAGAGAACUACAAGACGAUUCCAACCAGACCAACCGGAGCUCAAUCGGAGAUCGGACGAGGGAGAUACGAGCAAUCGAAGACGAAACUCUCGGGCUGGAAAUGGGGCCACACGGCGUGUGGAGCCCGUGUAGAGGCUACAGACCAUGGCUUUUAAGGCCAAAAUUGAGGAAGAGGCAUCAUAACUUCAACUACAUCCAUUCCAUCAUCUCACCUACGAUUUCCCCUCUUCUCCCACCAUUUUUAGAGCCCUAGAUGAGUAGAUUGAGUAGCAAUUGAAAGUCUUGGAGCUAGCUUAGAUUGGGUGGAACUUGGAGUUAAGAUUGAGGAUCAAGGAAUCAUCACCUUCAAGCCUUAUACCUAGAUGUCAAGAAUGGUGUUUGUAACCUCUAUUUCUCCUUUGAGUUUUGUCAUGGUAGGCUAGUUUUUAUUGUUGCUAGGCUAGAGAUGAUGUUGUUGCAAGGAUGAUCCCCUCAUGAUGAGGGGUUGGAAACACUUGGAUGCUUAUUAUGAUAAUGAUGUUCUUGGAUUAUGGUGUUUUCAACGUAGCUAGUUUAUGUCAUGGCUCGAAUUAGGUCUAAUCAAUACUCUCCUCUGCAUGACUU